RNAcentral lists this long non-coding RNA (1574 nucleotides) under Felis catus (domestic cat). RNAcentral describes it as "lncRNA (ENSFCAG00000049020.1)". Lineage: Eukaryota; Metazoa; Chordata; Mammalia; Carnivora; Felidae. The record is from RNAcentral.
UGUUUCAGAUUCUGUGUCUCCCUCUCUCUGACCCUCCCCUGUUCAUGCUCUGUCUCUCCCUGUCUCAAAAAUAAAUAAAACGUCCAAAAAAAAAUUUAAGAAAAAUUUUAAAAAAAUUAAAAAAGAAAAGCCAAGCCAAAUCAGUGAGGCAGAACAAGUAUUACUAUUCUAAAAUGUUACAAAAGGCAUCCUCAUUUACAUACAGACCAUCCUGGAGGGGAUGGGGGGGAGCCAAAGUGACUCAGCAGGGGAGGCUGGGGCGGUGAGGUGGGGGUGGGGUGUCUGGGGUCCAGAGAGAAAUAAACAGGAUCUCCUUCCGGACGUUCACAAAAAAUAUGCAGAGCCCUUUAAAGCUGCAUUCACAAUCUAAGCUACUUCUGCGACUCUGUUGUUAAUUUUAGAAAAUAAGAAUUGGAGGAAAGAGCGUGGUUGGGUUUCAUAAGUCUUGAGAGAAACUUCCCUCUGGCUUGUGUACCUCGAGUGGCUCUUUUCUUCCCCACCUCCGUCUUUCGCUCUCCCCUCCUCCCAGUGUUACCAGGCUUUCUCCGUAAAGCUCCCAUCCUCCACCCCUCCACCGGUUCCCCACCUCCCUCCCCGCGCUGGGGGGCUGUGGGAGACACGCAGACCUCCCCCCUCGGUCUGCCUUUUCCUCUAGCCCUUGGGCCUCUCCUGGCUGCUUCCGGGCCGACCUCUUAGCUGUGUCCGUGAGGCCUCCGAAUCCACCCCUUUGGCUCCCUGAUGUUUACCUUCCAAGUUGAAAAGUUUAAUUGCAGCCCCAAGGCCAAUUCUCCAAUUCCAUAUGUCGGUUUUAACUGAGGAGUGCUUGGGGAGCACAGAUGGCGAGGAAGAAGCUCAGAGCUGGUUCACUGUGCUGUCUGGAACCAUCAGUCUCGGCUCGGCUACUUCCUUAUGCGCAAGGUCUGCAAGCGGAAAAUCAAAACGGAGAUGAAUUUUUCCGGCAUCUGAGGUCUAAGGAGGAAAUGUUUUGCCACGUGGGCCAUCGCCUCUGGGCAAGGUGGGAUUGGCCGGAAGGUCAGUUGUUGGGCCCGCUUCUAAAGGCGUUGGUGCCUCGGUUUCUCCAUUCGCUCCCCCUUUGCUAUCAACCGGUCCUAAGCAACCAGGUCGGAAGGCAUUUAAUACUUGUAUUCACGGAGAUUCCCUCCUCUACCAAAUUACUCGGCUCCGCUGAACGUCGCAAGCAGGACCUUGACUCUUGGUCUCUCAUCUUCACCUCUGCAUUGCCCCAUUUUGGCGACAAUCCUGCCGAGUCAACACAGCCAGGAUCCCCGGCCUUUGCAGUCUGGAUCCAGUUUCUUAUCCUCCACCAUCCCCCCAGAGGAUUUCUGAUCCCCUCAGCCUGCCUUCAGCAAGAACCCUCCUUGGUCCACUUAGCAAGAAUCUCCCUUUACCCCUGAUGUUUCCUCUUAAUGAUAUCCAUCCACUGGCUCCCACCCUGCCCCGUGGCUAUCAAUCUCAUGCGCCCAUGUGGUACUCAGACUUGAGUCCAAUGCUCCCCAUUACUGUGGUCCCUAGUCCUUAUUGCCUUGAAUAAAAUCUUCCUUGCCGUGAUUUCA